AACGCUAGCUACAGGCUUAACACAUGCAAGUCGAGGGGCAGCACGGGAGUAGCAAUACAACUGGUGGCGACCGGCGCACGGGUGAGUAACGCGUAUGCAACCUACCUAUCAGAGGGGAAUAACCCGGCGAAAGUCGGACUAAUACCGCAUAAAACAGGGGCACCGCAUGGUGAUUUUUGUUAAAGAAAUUCGCUGAUAGAUGGGCAUGCGUUCCAUUAGGUAGUUGGUGAGGUAACGGCUCACCAAGCCGACGAUGGAUAGGGGAACUGAGAGGUUGGUCCCCCACACUGGUACUGAGACACGGACCAGACUCCUACGGGAGGCAGCAGUGAGGAAUAUUGGUCAAUGGGCGGGAGCCUGAACCAGCCAAGUCGCGUGAAGGAAGAAGGAUCUAUGGCUCGUAAACUUCUUUUGCAGGGGAAUAAAGUGCAGGACGUGUCCUGUUUUGUAUGUACCCUGAGAAUAAGGAUCGGCUAACUCCGUGCCAGCAGCCGCGGUAAUACGGAGGAUCCGAGCGUUAUCCGGAUUUAUUGGGUUUAAAGGGUGCGUAGGUGGUUUGAUAAGUCAGCGGUGAAAGUUUGCAGCUUAACUGUAAAAAUGCCGUUGAAACUGUCGGACUUGAGUGUAAAUGAGGUAGGCGGAAUGCGUGGUGUAGCGGUGAAAUGCAUAGAUAUCACGAAGAACUCCGAUUG
This 692-nucleotide ribosomal RNA is filed under the name uncultured bacterium. RNAcentral describes it as "bacterial SSU rRNA". It matches the Rfam family "Bacterial small subunit ribosomal RNA", at positions 32 to 715 of the family's 1533-position model. The record is from RNAcentral.